GGGGCUGACAGGUUUCGACGUCAGUUUCGGUGUCCGAGCGUGCGACCCGAGUUGCUCAGACUCGAAAAACGGGGCAAAAACAUAACUGCCAACACGCAGUUUGCUGUUGCUGCCUGAUUUUCAGGUAACAACAGACAUCGUGAGCCGCAAGGCCGCACGGGGCCAGCUCCUCGCAGCCCGGCAACAGAAGCGGGGGGUGACGGUGGGAAAGACCACUGGAGGCGUGGAAGAACGCUGGCCGGACGGAAAGACGUCCCGGUGACCCUCUCGUAAGAGUGGGUCAGUCGACCCGCCGAUGACGCGCCGUCGCGUCGAAGUCGGGAAUGGUCGUAUCACGGGCGGUUCCCGCCUGGCGGACGGGGGUUCGAUUCCCCCCAGCUCCACGA
RNAcentral lists this transfer-messenger RNA (386 nucleotides) under Ilumatobacteraceae. Its description in RNAcentral is "WLJO01 sp009701715 Standard tmRNA". It matches the Rfam family "transfer-messenger RNA". Rfam says of the family: Bacterial tmRNA, also known as 10Sa RNA or SsrA, is named for its dual tRNA and mRNA-like properties. Its role is to liberate the mRNA from a stalled ribosome. The record is from RNAcentral. Lineage: Bacteria; Bacillati; Actinomycetota; Acidimicrobiia; Acidimicrobiales. RNAcentral also lists the same sequence under 1 other name.